AAACAUGUCUUAAUGCUUUAUUUUAUAUUAAGUCUAACCUGCUCAAUGAUUAUUUAAUUAAAUAGCCGCAGUAUUUUGACUGUGCGAAGGUAGCAUAAUCAUUUGUCUUUUAAUUGAAGGCUUGUAUGAAGGGUUGGAUGAGGGAUUGACUUUCUUUACGUUAUUUUUGUGAAUUUAAUUUUUAGGUUAAAAAGCUUAAAUUUAUAAAUGGGACGAGAAGACCCUAUAGAAUUUUAUUUAUGUUUGAAUAAUUUAUUUUAUUGGUUAUUUUAUUAUUUAUUUGGAUAUAUAUUUUGUUGGGGUGAUGAUAAGAUUUUUUUAACUCUUAUAAUUUAUUUUAUUAUUUAUUUUUAUAUUUAAGAUCCUAUUUUAUGGAUAAAUAGAUUAAAUUACCUUAGGGAUAACAGCGUAAUUUCUCUGGAGAGUUCUUAUCGAUAGAGAAGUUUGCGACCUCGAUGUUGGAUUAAAAUAAGAUUUAAGUGCAGAAGCUAA
RNAcentral lists this ribosomal RNA (492 nucleotides) under Dichelops melacanthus. Its description in RNAcentral is "partial 16S ribosomal RNA". It matches the Rfam family "Archaeal large subunit ribosomal RNA", at positions 1903 to 2634 of the family's 2987-position model. The record is from RNAcentral. Lineage: Eukaryota; Metazoa; Arthropoda; Insecta; Hemiptera; Pentatomidae.